AUAAACGAGUACACGUCUGUAAACAAACAGGUUUGUAAACCGAAAACUCAAAAAAGCAAACAAACAAUUGAAAAAUGAUGUACUGGCAAAAUAUAAAACGAGAGGGUUGAUGCAGCUAUUAAUGAAGGUCAUACAAAAAGCAAUAAUCCUGAAGAUGUGCCAAUAGUUGUUGUAGUCUUUCAUAGUUGAAGCAAAAAAGUGGAACCAAAUCAUAAAGAUGUGAUACGGUAGGAAUCAGAUGAAGAAGAUUCAACAGAUAUCUUUGUUGUUUGACCUUCAUUAAUAGCUGCAUCAACCCUCUCGUUUUAUAUUUUGCCAGUACAUCAUUUUUCAAUUGUUUGUUUGCUUUUUUGAGUUUUCGGUUUACAAACCUGUUUGUUUACAGACGUGUACUCGUUUAUACUGCUUUGUUGUUUCUUUAGUCAGUUAUGAUGUAGAGGUAGUGAAAUGAGUAUGGAUAUGUUAUCAUUUCAUGCAACAUGUAGUACAGAAUGUAAUAUAAUAAUUAGAAUGCUGAUAUUUAUGCAUUUCAAAAUAUUUAAAUAACAUGGAAAAAGAUAGAAGGGGAGUGGAACAAAAUUCUGUUUAGGUUCCAUUUUUCUAAUCGUGUUCGUAAGAACAUAAAUUUGCAUAAACAUUUCCAUUCUAUAUAUAGUAUUUUAAGGAGAAUGUGUGCUUCGACUUGUUAUUUCGUUUUACAAUGUUUUAGGUUUAAUAGCUGACAUUUGAUAGGUCGCUUAUCUUGUCAUACUCACCUCACGCGAAAUGAUGUACUGGCAAAAUAUAAAACGAGAGGGUUGAUGCAGCUAUUAAUGAAGGUCAUACAAAAAGCAAUAAUCCUGAAGAUGUGCCAAUAGUUGUUGUAGUCUUUCAUAGUUGAAGCAAAAAAGUGGAACCAAAUCAUAAAGAUGUGAUACGGUAGGAAUCAGAUGAAGAAGAUUCAACAGAUAUCUUUGUUGUUUGACCUUCAUUAAUAGCUGCAUCAACCCUCUCGUUUUAUAUUUUGCCAGUACAUCAUUUUUCAAUUGUUUGUUUGCUUUUUUGAGUUUUCGGUUUACAAACCUGUUUGUUUACAGACGUGUACUCGUUUAUACUGCUUUGUUGUUUCUUUAGUCAGUUAUGAUGUAGAGGUAGUGAAAUGAGUAUGGAUAUGUUAUCAUUUCAUGCAACAUGUAGUACAGAAUGUAAUAUAAUAAUUAGAAUGCUGAUAUUUAUGCAUUUCAAAAUAUUUAAAUAACAUGGAAAAAGAUAGAAGGGGAGUGGAACAAAAUUCUGUUUAGGUUCCAUUUUUCUAAUCGUGUUCGUAAGAACAUAAAUUUGCAUAAACAUUUCCAUUCUAUAUAUAGUAUUUUAAGGAGAAUGUGUGCUUCGACUUGUUAUUUCGUUUUACAAUGUUUUAGGUUUAAUAGCUGACAUUUGAUAGGUCGCUUAUCUUGUCAUACUCACCUCACGCGAAAUGAUGUACUGGCAAAAUAUAAAACGAGAGGGUUGAUGCAGCUAUUAAUGAAGGUCAUACAAAAAGCAAUAAUCCUGAAGAUGUGCCAAUAGUUGUUGUAGUCUUUCAUAGUUGAAGCAAAAAAGUGGAACCAAAUCAUAAAGAUGUGAUACGGUAGGAAGCAGAUGAAGAAGAUUCAACAGAUAUCUUUGUUGUUUUCUGAAGAAGAGGAGAUCAAGCGUCUGUCAAGCAGGAACGAGCAGCGAUGGCAAUCGACGAACGAAAUUUUCACAAAGGAAACGAAUGAUUAGGCGAAAGAAAUUCAAGGAAACCAGCUUCAGCUCGACGUCCCGGAGAAACACACAGGAACUGAACGCGACCGCUCCUCACGAGUUAAAAAGUACCGAAGACACAAGACCGACCUAAGACUCUAGAUCAUAAUUCAUUUUUUAAAACAAUCCGUAGAUGUCAACGCAGCGAAUAUUUUGUUAAAAAUCAAGAACCAUUCCCAAGUAGAGUAGAUCUAUGUUGAAUGUUUCAAUUAUGUUUAAUGAUCGAUUAUGAUUGAAUUACUAGAGAUAAUGAAUACAUGUGUCAAAUUCUUCAUUGUAACUAUAAAUAUUUGUAAAUCUAUAUGUGCAAUCGUGAUAAUUUUUUUUUGAUGUAAAGUAUACCUUCAGCUUUUAACUUAAGAAUUUUCAACAUCAUUAAUUGUCUUCGAUGUAAAAUAAUAGUGUAAUAUAUAGUGUAAUAUAUAGUGUAAUAUAUAGUGUAAUAUAUAUAUAUAGUGUAAUAUACAAUAUAAUAUAAUAUAUAGUGUAAUAUAUAUAAUAAUAGUGUAAUAAUAGUGUAAUAUAAUUAGUUAUCACAGUUCUGUAUCAAGAAGGACCGGUUCUGGUCCUUGGACGGAUUGUAUCGGGGCAAAUUGAACAACGCAUGUAAGAGAAGAGAGGAUCCCGACGUUAUUGAAUCGCGUGGUGAAAUUUAAUUAGAGACGGCGUUAGAAGGGACUGUGUGCAUUAAUUGUGUUCUGUCUGACGACCUUGGUACGAGUGGUACACUCGUUAGGAUCACCUGAAAUAAACGAAAAUUAAAAUUAAAAAUAUACACGUGUAUUUUAUUGUAUUGUAUUUCCACGGUCAAUUGUACUCGUGUUAUUCAAUCUACCCUUUAUCGAAAUUUUAUUCGUAUAUUUUUCUGUACUUUUGCGAAAUUUAAUUGAAUUCUACGAAUAUAUGGGAAACGUUUUAAAAUCUGUUUCGUUGAAAACCCUUUAUCGAAAUUUUAUUUGAAUAUUUUUCUGUAAUUUUGCGAAAUUUGAUUGAAUUCUACGAAUAUAUGGGAAACGUUUGAAAAUCUGUUUCGUUGAAAACGACGCCUUCGACAUUUCGAUAGGUGAGAGCGAUAAAAUAAACAAUACUUGAUAUUAUAUUUGUACGGCAUCGAGCAUAUAGUAAAAUUAUUAGGAAAACAUUUAUCAGGAUUCAUUGUUAUCGAGAAAAUUAAAAUAAAAACAAUCCGCGAUUAUGAUACAGAAAAAUCUAUUAAAAAUAUUCGUGAUGAAUUCACAUCCCACGUCCUUUUAACAUAGUGUGUAACGUUCACUCAAUUUGCGAAAAAAAGAUUCCCUCAUUAACUCGCUAAAUCUCGUCUGAAAUACGGACGUCUCUGAUGAAUUUCGAGAUAAAAGGGGGAUAUUAACAGGAACGUUUUGUAUUGAAUAUUAUAAUAAAAAAUGUAGAUUAAGCGAAUUUUCUGCAAUUUCAUGCGGGAUGUACAAAUUUCGUCGUAUGAUCGAACACUCAAUUAUGCUGUUGUACUUUUUUCUCAGUUUUAAUCGUGAAAUACACAUUUUCUUUUUGUUUAAGCAUGAUCGUUCGAACACUAUAAUCGAGAAAAUAUUUAUUUAUGAUUUUCACAGAUGAUAUCGUAUGGAUCGCAUUAAUCUUUGAUUAUUCUCCGUCCGGCUAUAAAUUGUCCAUGGAUCAAGAUGUAUAGCUACAUAUAUCAUAAAGUAAGCUCGAUAUCCACGAAAAUAAGCGCGUUUAUAAUCGAACUCGCUAUUGGUCCACGAUUACGUGUCCAGAACAACGGAAUUUUAACGUCUGAUUCAAGGUCUCAUAUAGCAUGUGCUUCUUUUAGAAAUUAUUUAUGAAAAUAUUUGAAUAUUUCUAGAGAUUUUUAUGAACGUAUUACGUGUGUGAUAGAAAAAAUUUUGAAAUUUCGUUACUAGACUAUUAUGAUCAUAUUGAUAAUAUAUGUAACAAACUAAAGAACAUGUAUAGAAGUUACAAGAUAUUUAUUUCAAGCAUACAAUUCACAGAAAUCGCUAUAUCAUAUAAAAAUAUAUUGUAUUAUACAAGAAUAAUUAUACAUUUCUAGGAGACUUAAAUUCUUCUAUAUUAUAUGUGAUAAUAAAGAGUAAUGUCUGCGUAUUUGUACGAUAUAAUACAUUUUAUCAAUAUAACCACGACAGUCGACAAUGACAAUAAAACUGUCGUAAUAUAUAUCCAGACAAAUUUUCUACGAUGGGCCCUCAGAUGCUUUCGUGCGUUAUCGUACCUACUUACAUUCUACGCGAAAUCGAUGACGGAGAAAGUACCGGAUGUUCUGAACUCGCUCGCGACAGAUUUAUACGCGCAAUCCGACAGUCUGAAUAAAUUCGAUAUAUUGCCGGGAUACAAAUGACAUGGGGUCCUAGCAACAUUUUCCAAUUGACGGGAAAUCGAAAUGUAAAAAAAAGGAUCCCGACGAAGGAAGGAAAGAUUUUUCUCAUCUAUAUUUGGAAUAUUCAUGGAUUGUUAGUUUUUACCAUUCCAGCUUUGUCGCAAUUUAUUUCCAACUUACUGGACAUUCAUUUUGAUUUAUUAUAUAUAUUUAGACGCGGAAUACAAUGGGUAGCAGAUGGCUUUUUCAAGAUGUAUGAAUCAUAACCACAAGAAGUACAAUUAAAUAUUUAUCCCUUCCGUGUUAGUAAGCUGAUGAAUCUUUUGAUUGUGGCUUGCAAGAAUAAUAGUAGAUUAGUUUAAUUCUACCCAGUUAAUUAUUCAUAUAGAAAUAUGUUUUUACAAAAUUUAUGCUAUGAAAUUUUGAAUACAUUUUAUAUUUUACGAGAGGAAACUUUCGACACGUCUUGUCCAUCUGAACGUUUCUCAAACGUGCACGAAAUCUUUUUCCAUUUUAUUCGACGUCAGAGAUCCUUUUUUUUAACGUCGGUCUUAAAUGGUACAUUAGAGAUAAUAUAUACACAUAUUGUACUUUCUUACCAAAAUAUCGCCCAGAUCCAACGAAAACAUAUAGUUAGUGGAUGUAUUUCUUGCUGCCGAAUCUGUACCCAACGUAAUCAUCAUCAGUCCAUUUCCAAAUACACCCACUAUUAGGAUUAUUAAAAAUAAUCCUGGUACUAUAUAGGUUUCUGGGCGAUGUAUAUAUGGAAUGUAACCACCCUCCUGAACCAAAUUCGUCACAUUCAUAUUCAUGGCCAUCUGUAAAAGAAUAAAUCCACGUCUAUGCAUUAUGUAUGUAACUAUGCGUUAUGUAUUUUAUUUUCAUUUUCAAACGUUGUAUAAAUAAAUAAGUCUCUUUUA
Molecule: long non-coding RNA, 5022 nt
Organism: Bombus terrestris (buff-tailed bumblebee)
Lineage: Eukaryota; Metazoa; Arthropoda; Insecta; Hymenoptera; Apidae
Exons: 2
Source: RefSeq, a predicted model, not a curated record